Molecule: long non-coding RNA, 1130 nt
Organism: Raphanus sativus (radish)
Lineage: Eukaryota; Viridiplantae; Streptophyta; Magnoliopsida; Brassicales; Brassicaceae
Exons: 5
Source: RefSeq, a predicted model, not a curated record
GCGUCGCCACGGAUCGCAGUGUUUCAUUAAAGCUUCGGAUUGGGCUUUGUUCUGCUUUUUUUCCUACGGCCCAUCGAGACCUAAUCAGAAGCUUUCUUCGUGUUCUUCGUCCAUCUUAGAGCGGCGCUGAGACGGUCUCGAUGGGCGUCAUCAUUUGAUAGUUUGGAUGACUGAGAUCGAGAUGAAGAAUCUGUUCAUUUGUCUCCUCCCGCGUCGUUUGGUCUUCUCCUCUGCUCAAACGUAACGGCCGGGUUACAGAUUCAGCGCCAUCAUCGUCUUAUUAACUCCAUAGAAGGAGCUGUUGCACGAUCUUGACAUUGAUUGUGAGUUAUCCUUCUCCAAGGAGAUCUAUUCUUCACCGAUAAAAAGGUUUUGGGAAGCCAGUAAUGUCAGAGGUGGAGGGGAACUGAUGUCUCUUGAUAUACUCUUACUGGAUUCCAAGAUACAGCUGAAGAGAACACAAGGGACUGACAAAUACAAAAGACAGAAUUAUUUUAUCAUUCUUGAUAGGAAGCAAGCAAAUAGAGUUGUUGAUCUACUCGCUCUCCAUCUCUCGAGGCUAAGUUAGUUGCAUUCAGGUCGAGUUGUUCAUGGGAAUGUGAAAACAAAGAAUAUGCUUUGGUUUAUCAGAGGAAUCUAAAGAUCACAGAUUUUGGCUAGAGUUGAAGCUCAUAAUCCAAAAGAAAUGACUGGAGAAUGUGGAACUCUCGGAUACAUGGCUCCAUAGGUAACGAAGAAAACGUACUUAUUACGUUAAAAAUUGCAUCUUAGGGGUUCAAAAUAUGUUAUUUGGGUGUAAUAAUGGAACUUGUGGUUAGGUUCUUGAUGUUAAGCUUUAUAACAGUAAUUACAGAGAAACAGGGCACUAGCUCUACAAGAACAUACAACAGUAGCGAUUAUGGUCUUAAAUUGUGAAAACGUUGCAAGAAUAUUUGGACCAGCGAUUUUUGAAGCCUCAAAUUGAAAGUAUCAUUCUUAGGAGUUUACAGCUUCGUGAUGUGCUUGUGGGAUGUAUACUGAUGUCCUAUGCCUUACGCUGAUCUCAGUUUAGUUGGUGUUUCUUUUACUAUUGUCCGUCAGAUUUGUGACACUUGAUAAAAGAAAAAAUUGAAUGAAAGUGAAAUUUAGUU